AGGAACCAAUGGAGAUUGAUUUAAAAGAAUUCGGGCUUAGUUACGUAGUUCGUAAAAGGUGUAUACUUACCUGUCUUAAUACUGUUUGAGACAGUUGCCCGAAACAACUUUUUAGAGUAAUUUUCAUGAUUUUUAUUUUAUAAACUGUUUUCAUAUGGCUCCCCCUUUUUCUUUCCAUCAGAGAAGUCACUUUGUUGACGAUAAAAGGUAUUUCCUAAGAUAUAGUUAGUAUUGAAAAACUUUGGACAUACCUACCCUCAAUUUUUGAUAUUUUUCUAUACAACUUACAUUCAAUAUUUUUCUUAUUUAUUUAUUUAUUACAUUCUAU
This is a long non-coding RNA of Maniola jurtina (meadow brown), 328 nucleotides long. RefSeq lists it as uncharacterized. Lineage: Eukaryota; Metazoa; Arthropoda; Insecta; Lepidoptera; Nymphalidae. The record is from RefSeq and is a predicted model, not a curated record. The transcript has 3 exons.